CACCAUGGCAAGAAGAACACAAAACAUUGCACUCAAUUCUUAUCAAUCUCAGUCUUCAUAGAGCAGACAAAGAAGGCGGCUGGUACUUGGAGUCAAAGGGAUAAAAUGUAGAAGACAACAUACUUUAUUAACAAAGAUUUGUCAGGACCCCUAUAGAUGGGAAGGAGAGGAAAUUAACAACAAAAGGAUCUAAAUAUCAUCUAUGAGAGAUUCAAAAUGAAUUUAAGCGGGGAAGGAACACCUUAAACAUCAGUAAUGAAAACCCACUACCAAUCUCAAGAGCACCAGAACUUAUCGCUGGACUGUUGUCAAGGGAAAGAAGCUUGAACUGUACAGAUAUUAAGGGGAAAGAAUAUUUGCGACUUAAAUCAGGACUUCUGACAAUUUAUUUAUCAGACAAGAAAAACUAUGAAGACCAUACUUUCUGAGAAGACAAGAAGAAAACUUUUUUUGAGUAAAAAUGGAGUAAAUCCUAUGCCCUCUAUGCAAGCACGGAAGCCGAAAAAUACUACCAUUAUGUCUAGACACACAAAACACUGUCAAGUUGGUGGAAGCGAAAACAUUUUCUUGGGAAGUGGUCACCUUCAAGAAGCAAAUGAAAAGGCAUCAAUGGGUACCUCCACAUCCGAAAAGAAAAGGCAAUUACUGGUCUUCCUCUGGAAGAAAGACUAGAAGAUUAAAUGCAACAUUUUUAGCAAAAAAAAAAAGUCCUUCAAAGCUACUGUAAUUAACACAAGAACCUUUCAUCUCUAUCUUUCCCAACGAAAUUUCAAGAACUAAAAAGACGUAUUCCCAAGAUACUCCUGACUCUUUCCUUCUCACAUCUGUUCAGGGAUUUUGUUAUCAACACCUAAGGGGCACAACAGAAAAUCACAAGUCAUUUCAGCAUAUCCUUACAGGCCUCUACACCAAGAAACUGAGAGAUGAAAAGAAAUCAACACAAAUACUUUGAGUAGUGCAAGCACAAAGCACACAAUAAAGAACUUGCACCAUCUCAAAUAUGA
Molecule: long non-coding RNA, 1004 nt
Organism: Phascolarctos cinereus (koala)
Lineage: Eukaryota; Metazoa; Chordata; Mammalia; Diprotodontia; Phascolarctidae
Source: RefSeq, a predicted model, not a curated record